GGCGGCGUGCCUAAUACAUGCAAGUCGAGCGGACAGAUGGGAGCUUGCUCCCUGAUGUUAGCUUCGGACGGGUGAGUAACACGUGGGUAACCUGCCUGUAAGACUGGGAUAACUCCGGGAAACCGGGGCUAAUACCGGAUGGUUGUUUGAACCGCAUGGAGACAUAAAAGGUGGCUUCGGCUACCACUUACAGAUGGACCCGCGGCGCAUUAGCUAGUUGGUGAGGUAACGGCUCACCAAGGCGACGAUGCGUAGCCGACCUGAGAGGGUGAUCGCUCACACUGGGACUGAGACACGGCCCGAGACUCCUACGGGAGGCAGCAGCGAAUCUUCCGCAAUGGACGAAAGUCUGACGGAGCAACGCCGCGUGAGUGAUGAAGGUUUUCGGAUCGUAAAGCUCUGUUGUUAGGGAAGAACAAGUGCCGUUCAAGGGCGGCACCUUGACGGUACCUAACCAGAAAGCCACGGCUAACUACGUGCCAGCAGCCGCGGUAAUACGUAGGUGGCAAGCGUUGUCCGGAAUUAUUGGGCGUAAAGGGCUCGCAGGCGGUUUCUUAAGUCUGAUGUGAAAGCCCCCGGCUCAACCGGUUAGGGUCAUUGGAAACUGGGGAACUUGAGU
Molecule: ribosomal RNA, 619 nt
Filed under: Bacillus amyloliquefaciens
Lineage: Bacteria; Bacillati; Bacillota; Bacilli; Caryophanales; Bacillaceae
Description: bacterial SSU rRNA
Rfam family: Bacterial small subunit ribosomal RNA
Source: RNAcentral